UCCAGUGUCUGUGGUUGCCACCACAGCGGCCGGCUGUGAGGCCCCAUGGUACAAGUGCUGCUGAGGAAUGAGUCUUUAAACAACCAGUGGCAACAGAGCCUGAGCCCUUUAAGGUCAGAACAUUAUUGCUUUUACCGUUGGAAGUUUAAAUCUUCAGGGGGAAAUGAAGGCAGAAUAUCCAAGACUCUGUGGACCUCUAUUGUCAGCUUCAACAUUUGCCAACCAAAGUAAUUCAACCCCAAAUCUCUGCUUCCUGCCAUCGUGGCCAUAAAAAAGCAGUGCUCAAGGAAUGUUUACAGCUAAGGAGGCUCCAUGGAGGAUUGCUUGAAGGACAUGAAGUCCAUCCAUCUCUCCAGAUAGUUUAGGUUAUAUCUCAUGAUCAAGGUAAACCAUCCAAACUAAAUACUUGAACCAUAUUGUUUUGGCGUCUUUUACUUUUACUCACUUUUACUGAAUUGCAUUUUGGCAUUGCAUGGAGGGACCCAGCAAGAAGAUAGCCAUCAGCCUGUCAGCGUUAUUGGCAUCAUGGGGGAUGUUGAGAAAGGCACUCGCCUCUGAACCAUUCAUGUUCCACUCCUGAGGGCACAGUGAGAUGUUCCCCUUAGACCCAAAUGCCAGGAAACAAUUGGUUUUCCGUGAGUAAUAACAAUGUGUUUAUGUGUUUACCUGGCAUAAAGCUAAGGGUGGCCCCGAGCAUGGUCUUGAAAUUAGAAUGCUGGGGUUCAAACCCAGCACCAUUACCUGUUAUCUGGUCGACCUUAAGCCUCUUAACUUCUCUGUGCCUCAAUUUUCUCAUCUGUAAAGUAAUGAAAAUAACUGUACCUACCUCAAAGGCUGCAGUGAGAAUUGAAUGAGACAGACUAUGUAAAAGUUUUUAGCACUGUGUCUGGCAAAUCGUUAAGUUCUCAAUAAAUAUUAGCC
Long non-coding RNA from Hipposideros armiger (great roundleaf bat), 921 nucleotides. RefSeq lists it as uncharacterized. The transcript is spliced from 3 exons. Lineage: Eukaryota; Metazoa; Chordata; Mammalia; Chiroptera; Hipposideridae. The record is from RefSeq and is a predicted model, not a curated record.